Molecule: ribosomal RNA, 254 nt
Filed under: uncultured bacterium
Lineage: Bacteria
Description: partial 16S ribosomal RNA
Rfam family: Bacterial small subunit ribosomal RNA
Source: RNAcentral
UACGAGGGGGGGCGAGCGUUGUUCGGAAUUACUGGGCGUAAAGCGUGCGCAGGCGGUUCGUUGUGUCGGCGGUGAAAGCCCCGGGCUUAACCUGGGAAUGGCCGUUGAAACUGGCGAACUGGAGUGUGGCAGAGGGGGGUGGAAUUCCGCGUGUAGCAGUGAAAUGCGUAGAGAUGCGGAGGAACACCGAUGGCGAAGGCAGCCCCCUGGGCUGACACUGACGCUCAGGCACGAAAGCGUGGGGAGCAAACAGG